This 111-nucleotide small nucleolar RNA is filed under the name Flavobacterium aciduliphilum. Lineage: Bacteria; Pseudomonadati; Bacteroidota; Flavobacteriia; Flavobacteriales; Flavobacteriaceae. The record is from RNAcentral.
UACACAUGACUAUUCAAACGGCAGUAUUGAUUGAAACACUUAUUGCACUUGGAGCAGAGGUCACAUGGUCUUCGUGUAAUAUUUUUUCAACUCAAGAUCAAGCAGCUGCUG